AGAGUUUGAUCCUGGCUCAGGACGAACGCUGGCGGCGUGCCUAAUACAUGCAAGUAGAACGCUGAAGAGAGGAGCUUGCUCUUCUUGGAUGAGUUGCGAACGGGUGAGUAACGCGUAGGUAACCUGCCUUGUAGCGGGGGAUAACUAUUGGAAACGAUAGCUAAUACCGCAUAACAAUGGAUGACACAUGUCAUUUAUUUGAAAGGGGCAAUUGCUCCACUACAAGAUGGACCUGCGUUGUAUUAGCUAGUAGGUGAGGUAAUGGCUCACCUAGGCGACGAUACAUAGCCGACCUGAGAGGGUGAUCGGCCACACUGGGACUGAGACACGGCCCAGACUCCUACGGGAGGCAGCAGUAGGGAAUCUUCGGCAAUGGGGGCAACCCUGACCGAGCAACGCCGCGUGAGUGAAGAAGGUUUUCGGAUCGUAAAGCUCUGUUGUAAGUCAAGAACGGGUGUGAGAGUGGAAAGUUCACACUGUGACGGUAGCUUACCAGAAAGGGACGGCUAACUACGUGCCAGCAGCCGCGGUAAU
This 534-nucleotide ribosomal RNA is filed under the name uncultured bacterium. Its description in RNAcentral is "bacterial SSU rRNA". It matches the Rfam family "Bacterial small subunit ribosomal RNA", at positions 8 to 524 of the family's 1533-position model. The record is from RNAcentral.